AUUUUCUAUAUUAAAAUAAAAGAAAUAAAAAUUACUAUCUUUAGCCUUCGUGAUUUCCUCGUUAAUUAAUUUUCACAAGCUUUUACCCUUUUCUUAAAAGGAUAAUAUAUAUCAAUAAGAUUAUCUUUUUAAUUAUAUUGCUUUUAUAUUAUAAAUAAUUGUACAAUUGGCAAAUUAAUAAUAAUUUUCUUUUUCAGAUAAGUUGAUUUUACAGGUAAAUAUACAUUACGGCUUUUUUAUUUACGGGUUGAUCUCGUUACGAUUUAACGAGAAACGUGACCCAGUAAUGUUUAAUUAUUAAUGUAAUGUUCUGAUGUAUUGCAUUUUGACCGUCAAGAUACUUUUAUGGAUAAUUUUAAGGAUAAUUGUCAUGUAUUAAGUGUGAUGCUCAUAAAUACCAAAUAUUUUAGUUUUAUGUUGCUUAUCUUUAUUUUUUAGCAUUCUUAUUUCAUGUAUUUAUUAUACACAUCUCAUUUUUGGAAGAAAAAACCUUCACGAGAUGAAACAAUCGGUUUCUUCAGCAUGUUAUCCCGAAGGACGCAUGACUUUGCGUCAGGACUGACUGGACGCUUUGUUUGUUCUUUUGCUUCUAGGCGUUAAUGGGUCUUUUAAAGUCUUCGGCAGAUCAUUCUCCGGCGAUGCCGACAACAAUGUCAGAUUUCCUUGUCCGAAUUACAACUGCGGUCGCGCCUUCAAUUGGAAGAGAAACUUAACGCGACAUUUGAAAUACGAAUGUGGUCUUCAGCCGCGCUUCAAAUGCCCCUACUGUGAUUACUAUGGCAAGCUCAAAGGCAACGUCAGUAAGCAUCUUCUCCGCAGGCACAACAACCGAAAGAUUUAUGUCGUCGAUUUGUCCCAAGGGACAUCAUGAAUGCGACACGACCAAUGAACGUUUUAUCUAGCUGCGUAUCUUUCGUUUAUCGAGAAGUCAAGAAAUCUGCCCAUUCUGAUUCAUGAAUCGUGUUUUCGGCAUUGAUCUGUAUUUAUAUUUCUGUAUUUAUUCUUAAUUGUUCAUUUUCAUCUAUCUAAAUCGUGCAAGGUAAUGUUAUCGAUUGCAAUGCUAACUGUUUGUUUGUUAGAAGUUGUAUGUGCUUUCGAGUAUUCGGUCAAAAUUGUACCUAGAAAUGCGCAAAAAUAUUAGAACUAUUAUGAAACUAUUAUGAAUAAAUAUAUAAGAACAAAUGCACUUUAUAUUAUUCAUUUUUGCACACAGUGAGUAAAUGCAUGUGUGAAUGCUGAAGAUCUGAUUUAAAUAAUAUGUAUCUCACACGAACAAUAAUGUUUAGAGAUUCGAGAAAUUGUGAUUUCUAUUUUGCAAGUGAAGAGGAAAAUCCGCAGGAAAAGAGGGUUUUGUUUGAGUUAAUUAUUUGCGAUUUUACGUACAAAUAAUAGUGGUUUUUCUUGUUUUGAGGUUGUCAAGAACAAUUAGCGGCACUUUACCUCUUCGCACACGUCUCGACGAGCACUUUUGAAACAUUUAUCGCUAAUGAAUCGUUAUUUUUUCAGUUAUCAAAGGAUCUACAUGCUCGACAACCUGUCCUCUUCUCAUCACAAAAGUGUGGAGCUUGAGGAAUAUCUUCCCGUGUCCUAAUCUAAAUUGCUCGAGUGUUUACAAGUUGGAAAAAAGUCUGACGUAUCACCUUCGUCACCAUUGCGGGCAGAAGCCCAGGUUCAAGUGUCCCUACUGCGAAUAUGUGAGCAAGUUCAAGGGCAACAUCAACCAGCAUAUUCUCCACCAGCACAACAAACGGAAGGUUUAUGUCGUCGAUUUGUUCCAAGGGACAUCAUGAAUGCGACACGACCAAUGAACGUUUUAUCUAGCUGCGUAUCUUUCGUUUAUCGAGAAGUCAAGAAAUCUGCCCAUUCUGAUUCAUGAAUCGCGUCUUCGGCAUUGAUCUGUAUUUGUAUUUCUGUAUUUAUUCUUAAUUGUAUAUUUUCAUUUAUCUAAAUCGUGCAAAGUAAUGUUAUCGAUUGCAAUGCCAACUGUUUGUCUGUUAGAAGUUGUAUGUGCUUCGAGUACUCGGUCAAAAUUGUACCUAGAAAUUCGCAACAAUAUCACAACUAUUAUGAAACUAUUAUGAAUAAAUAUAUAAGAACAAAUGCACUUUAUAUUAUUUAUUUUUGCACACAGUGAGUAAAUGCAUGUGUAAAUGGUGAAGAUCUGAUUUAAAUAAUAUGUAUCUCACACGAACAAUAAUGUUUAGAGAUCCGAGAAAUUGUGAUAUCUAUUUCGCAAGUGAAGAGGAAAAUCCGCAGGAAAAAAGAGUCUCGUUCGAGUUAAUUAUUUGCGAUUUUACGUACUAAUAAUAGCGGUUUUUCUUGUUUCGAGGUUUUCAAGAACAAUUAGCGACACGUACUCUAAUUCUUUGCAUGCGUCUCGACAAGCAUUUUUGAAACAUUUAUCGCUAACAAAUCGUUAUUUUUUCAGAUAUUCAAAAACCCACGUGCAGAACAACCUAUCCUCUUCUUAUUACAAAAGUGACGAGCUUGAAGAAAGCCUACCCGUGUCCUAAUCCAAAUUGCUCGAGCGCUUUUAAGUUCAAAGCAAAUCUGACGUAUCACCUUCGUCACCAUUGCGGACAGAAGCCCAGAUUCAAGUGUCCCUACUGCGAAUAUGUGACCAAGCGCAAGGAGAGUGUAACGACGCACAUUCGAAUGAAGCAUCGAAACAACGCCGUUUAUGUUAUUGAUUUUCUGGCGAUAUAAAGCUGAGUGAAUUUUCUCUGAUUUUCACGAAAUAAAGAUAAUACUGGAUGUUCAACAACAAUUAUUAAACAGCAAUUAUUAUUUAGUAAAUAUUGGUAUAAAAUGCAUUCAUGUUGUAGAUAAUUUAAUAGCACAUGGAGAGGAAUAUUGUUGGAAUACGAAAAGACGUUUUUUUUUUAAGUUAAGAAAAUAAUUUUUGGAAACAAUAAAAUUAAAAAUAAAAAAUGAGCUUUUGGCAGUUUUUGAUUUAAAUAAUAUGUAUCUCAUAUGAACAAGAAUGUUUAGAGAUCCGAGAAAUUUCGAUUUUUAUUUCGCAAGGGAAGAAGAAAAUCCGCAGAAAAAGCGAAUCUUGUUUGAAUUAAUAAUUAAUUGUAAUUUUGCGCACAAAUAAUAGCAUUUUUUCUUGUUUCGAGGUUUUCAAGAAUAAUUAGCGACACGUAAUCUACUUUUUUGCACACGUCUCGACGAGCAUUUUUGGAACAUUUAUCAUCAACAAUCGUUAUUUUUUUCAGAUAUCAAAGAAUCCACGUGCAGGACAACCUAUCCUCUUCUCAUUACAAAAGUGAGGAGCUUGAGGCCUACCUUCCCGUGUCCUAAUCCAAAUUGCUUGAGCGCUUUCAAGUUGAAAAGCAAUCUGAUGAACCACAUUCGUUACCAAUGCGGCCAGAAGCCCAGAUUCAAGUGUCCCUACUGCGAAUAUGUGAGCAAGUUCAAGAGCCAUGUAAAGAGGCACAUUCGACUUAAGCAUCGAAACGACGCUAUUUAUGUCAUUGAUCUUCAACAGUAGAUAUAAAGACGAAUAAAUUUUUUUUAAUUUGAAAUAAGGACGAUACUGUAUGUUCAACAAUAGUUAUUAUUUAGUAAAUAUUGGUAUAAAAUACAGUCGUAUUGUAGAGAAUUUAAAUAGCACAUUAAAAGGAAUGUAUUAUGCCGAAAUACGAAAAGAUUUUUUUUUUGUUAAGCUAAGAAAAUUACUUUUGGAAACAAUAAAAUUAGAAAUAAAAUAUGAGUUUUUGGCAGUUUUUGAUUUAAAUAAUAUGUACCUCAUAUGAACAAGAAUGUUUAGAGAUCCGAGAAAUUGUGAUUUCUAUUUUGCAAGGGAAGAAGAAAAUCCUCAGGAAAAGCAGAUCUUGUAUGUGUUAAUUAUUUGUGACUUUGUGUACAAAUAAUGGUGUUUUUUCUUGUUUCGAGGUUUUCAAGAAUAAUUAGCGACACGUGCUCUACUUUUUCGCACGCGUCUCGACAAACAUUUUUGGAACAUUUAUCGCCAACGAAUCGUUAUUUUUUCAGAUAUUCAAAAACCCACGUGCAGGACAACAUAUUCUCUUCGCAUUACAAAAGUGAAGAGCUUGAAGAAAACCUACCCGUGUCCCAAUCUAAAUUGCUCGAGCGGUUACAAGACAGAAAAGAAACUGAAGUAUCAUCUUCGUCACCAGUGUGGUCAGAAGCCCAGAUUCAAAUGUCCCUACUGCGAAUAUGUGAGCAAGCACAAGUGCAACGUACAGAGACACAUUCAUGUCAAGCAUCGAAACAAGGCCGUUUGUGUCAUUGAUUUUCAGCAGUACAUAUAAGGACGAAUAAAUUUUCUUUGAUUUCACGAAAUAAAGACAAUACCAGAUGUUAUUAAACAACAGUUAUUAUUUAGUAAAUAUUAAUAUAAAAUGCAGUCGUGUUGUAGAGAAUUAAAAGCACAUUGAGAGGAAUAUAUUUUGCUGAAAUACGAAAAGAUGAUUUUUUUUUUAAGUUAAGAAAGUUAUUUUUGGAAACAUUAAAAUUAGAAAUAAAAUAUGAGUUUUUGACAGUUUUUGAUUUAAAUAAUACGUACCUCACAUGAACAAAAAUGUUUAGAGAUCCGAGAAAUUGCGAUUUCUGUUUCUCAAGGGAAGAAGAAGAUCCGCAGAAAAAGCAGGUCUUUUUUGUGUUAGUUUUGUGAUUUUGCGUACAAAUAAUAGCGUUUUUUCUUGUCUCGAGGUUUUCAAGAAUAUUUAGCGUCACGUACUCCACUUCUUCGCACGCGUCUCGACGAGCAUUUUUGGAACAUUUAUUGCCAACGAAUCGUUAUUUUUUCAGAUAUCCAAGCAUCCACGUGCAGGACAACCUAUCCUCUUUUUAUUACAAAAGUGAGGAGCUUGAGGAAUACCUACCUGUGUCCUAAUCCAAAUUGCUCGAGCGCUUUUAAGUUCAAAAGAAGUCUGACGUAUCACCUUCGUCACUAUUGCGGGCAGAAGCCCAGAUUCAAGUGUCCCUACUGCGAAUAUGUGAGCAAGUGCAAGGCCAAUGUAAAGAGGCACAUUCAAAUAAAGCAUCGAAGCAACGCCGUUUAUGUCAUCAAUUGUCAGCAAUAGAUAUAAAGACGAAUGAAUUUUCUUUGAUUUCACGAAAUAAAGACAAUACCGGAUAUUUAACAACAGUUAUUAAACAAGUUAUUAUUUAGUAAAUUUUUUGUAAAAUGCGGUCGUAUUGUAGAUAAUUUAAUAACACAUUGAGAGGAAUAUAUUUUGCUGGAAUACGAAAAGAUGUUUUAUUUAUUAAGUUAAGAAAAUAAUUUUUAGAAGCAAUAAAAUUAGAAAUAAAAUAUGAGCUUUUGACAAUUUUUAAUUUAAAUAAUACGUAUCUCGCAUGAACAAGAAUGUUUAGAGGUCCGAGAAAUUGUGAUUUGUAUUUUGCAAGGGAAGAAGAAAAUCCUCAGGAAAAGCAGGUCUUGUUUGUAUUAAUUAUUUGUGACUUUGCAUAUUAAAAAUAAUGGCUUUUUUUCUUGUUUCGAGGUUUUCAAGAAUAAUUAGCGACACGUACUCUACUUCUUCGCACGCGUCUCGACAAACAUUUUUGGAACAUUUAUCGCCAACAAAUCGUUAUUUUUUCAGAUAUUCAAAAACCCACGUGCAGGACAACAUAUUCUCUUCGCAUUACAAAAGUGAGGAGCUUGAAGAAAACCUACCCGUGUCCUAAUUUAAAUUGCUCGAGCGCUUUUAAGUUGAAAAGGAAUCUAGCAUAUCACCUUCGUUACCAGUGUGGUCAGAAGCCCAGAUUCAAGUGUCCCUACUGCGAAUAUGUGAGCAAGCACAAGUGCAACGUACAGAGACACAUUCAUGUCAAGCAUCGAAACAACGCCAUUUGUGUCAUUAAUUGUCAGCAGUAGAUAUAAAGACGAAUGAAUUUUCUGUGAUUUCAUCAAAUAAAGACAAUACCGGAUCUGACAGUUAGUAAACAACAGUUAUUAUUUAGUAAAUAUUGGUAUAAAAUGCAAUCGUGUUGUAGAGAAUUUAAAGCACAUUGUAAGGUUUAUAUUUUGUUGGAAUACGAAAAGAUGAUUUUUUUCUUAAGUUAGGAAAGUAAUUUUUAGAAACAAUAAAAUUAGAAAUAAAAAAUGAGCUUUUGACAGUUUUUGAUUUAAAUAAUACGUACUUCACAUGAACAAGAAUGUUUAGAGGUCCAAGAAAUUGUGAUUUCUAUUUCGCAAGGGAAGAAGAAGAUCCGCAGAAAAAGCAGGUUUUUUUUGUGUUAGUUUUGUGAUUUUGAGUACAAAUAAUAGCGUUUUUUCUUGUCUCGAGGUUUUCAAGAAUAGCGUCACGUACUCUACUUCUUCGCACGCGUCUUGAUGAGCAUUUUUGGAACAUUAAUCGCCAACGAAUCGUUAUUUUUUCAGAUAUCCAAGAACCCACGUGCGGGCCAACCUAUCCUCUUUUCAUUACAAAAGUGAGGAGCUUGAGGCCUACCUUCCCGUGUCCUAAUCCAAAUUGCUCGAGCGCUUUCAAGUGGAAAAGGAAUCUGAUGUACCACCUUCGUUACCAGUGCGGGCAGAAGCCCAGAUUCAAGUGUCCCUACUGCGAAUACGUGAGCAAGCUCAAGGGCGAUGUAAAGAGGCACAUUCGAGUCAAGCAUCGAAACGACGCCGUUUAUGUCAUUGAUUUUCAGCAGUAGAUAUAAGGACGAAUAAAUCUUCUUUGAUUUCACGGAAUAAAGACAAUACCAGAUAUUCAACAACAGUUAUUAAACAACAGUUAUUAUAUAGUAAAUAUUUGUAUAAAGUGCAGUUAUAUUGUAGAGAAUUUAAUAGCACAUUGAGAGGAAUAUUGCUAGAAUACGAAAAGACGUUUUUUUUAAGUUAAGCAAAUUAUUUUUGGAAACAAUAAAAUUAGAAAUAAGAUAGUAGUUUUGGCAGUUUUUGAUUUAAAUAAUAUGUAUCUCACAUGAACAAGAAUGUUUAGAGAUCCGAGAAAUUGUGAUUUCUAUUUCGUAAGGGAAGAAGAAAUUCUGCAGGAAAGGCGGAUUUUGUUUGAGUUAAUUAUUUUUGAUUUUGUGUACAAAUAAUAGUGGUUUUUCUUGUUUCGAGGUUUUCAAGAAUAAUUAGCAAUACGUACUCUACUUUUUUGCACGCGUCUCGACGAGCAUUUUUGGAACAUUUAUCGCCAACGAAUCGUUAUUUUUUCAGAUAUCCAAGAAUCCACGUGCAGAACAACCUAUCCUCUUCUUAUUACAAACGUGAGGAGCUUGAGGGAUACUUACCCGUGUCCUAAUCCAAAUUGCUCGAGCGCUUUUAAGUUCCAAAGAAGUCUGACGUAUCACCUUCGUUACAAGUGCGGGCAGAAGCCCAGAUUCGAGUGUCCCUACUGCAAAUAUGUGAGCACGGUCAAGUGGGACGUAAAGAAGCACAUGCAAUUCAUGCAUCGAAAACACGCUGUCUAUGUCAUCGAUAUUUUUGAGCAAUAUAAAGACGAGUGAAUUUUUUCUGAUUUUACGAAAUAAAAACAAUAUUGGAUGUUCAACAAUAGUUAUUAAACAAUAGUUAUUAUUUGGUACAUAUUUGUAUAAAAUGCGGUUGUAUUGAAGAGAAUUUAAUAUCACUUUGAGAGGAAUAUAAUCUGCUGGAAUACAAAAAGAUGUUUUACUUUUCAAGUUAAGAAAAUAAUUUUUGGAAACAAUGAAAUUAGAAAUAAAAUAUGAGCGUUUUGCAGCUUCUGAUUUAAAUAUGUAUCUCACAGGAACAAGAAUGUUUAGAGAGAUGAGAAAUUGCGAUUUCAUUUUCGCAAGGGAAGAGGACAAUUCGCAUGGAAAAGCUGGUCUCGUUUGAGUUAAUUAUUUGCGAUCUUACGCAUAUAUAAUGGCGUUUUUUUCGUGUUCCGAAGUUUUUAGCGAAGAACGAAUAGUGGCACGCACCCUACCUUUUCGCACGCGUUUCGACAAGCAUCUCUGGAACAUUUUAUCGCGAACGAGUUGUUACUUUUUCAGAUAAUAAUGAAUCCACGUGCUGGACAGCCUAUCCUCGCAGUACGAAACUGAGGUGCGUGAGGUCCAACUUUCCGUGUCCUAAUCCAAAUUGCCGGAGCGUUUUCACGUGGAAAAGGAAUCUGACGAGUCACCUUCGUUACCAGUGUGGUCAGCAGCCCAGAUUCAAGUGUCCCUACUGCGAUUAUGUGUGCAAGGUUAAGGCUGACAUACGGAAGCACAUUCGGGUCAAGCAUCAAAAUCAUGCUGUCUAUGUCAUCGAUAUUUUUCAACAGUGGAAAGUCUUCCAGUGAAUUUUUUUUGAUUUUAUGAAAUAAAGACAAUAUCGGAUGUUCAACAACAAUUAUUAAACAACAGUUAUCAUUUAGUAAAUAUUUAUAUAAAAUGCGGACGUGUUGUAGAGAAUUUAGUAGUACAAUUAUAGGAAUAUAAUUUGCUGGAAUAUAAAAAGAUGUUUUAUUUUUCAAGUUACGAAAAUAAUUUUUUUAAAUAAUGAGAGUAGAAUUAAAAUAUAAGUUUUUGUAGUUUAAAAUUUUCUUUUCUUUCUGUGCUAAUUUAAAAUCUUAAUAUACUUGGCAUAUAUUAUAUUUAAUUUAUUCUUAUUUGCUAUAUUUAAGAUACAUAAAAGCUAUUUGCAUUUUUCUCACAAAAAUAUAAUCUAUAUCUUACAUAUAAUAAUUAAUUUUUCUUAAAAACAUUUUUUUAAAAAACAUAGUUGCUUUAAAGACUUUUAAAAUGCGAGGAAAAUCUGAAUAUGAAUAAAUCCAUGUAAAUAUUCUUGUACAUAUUAUGUAUUAAAAAUUAGAAGUUAUUAAGAACAAAGUUUAAAAUAAUCUUUUCUGCAAAUUAUUGUAAAAUUGUGAUUUAAUAAAAUGUUUUAAUGAUAUUAUAAUAAAUAUCUAUUAAUUAUAUUAAUUAUGCGGUAAUUCGUGCAUACAUAAAAUGUUUUUCUUUGUAUUCAAGAUUUUUAUUGUUACGUGAAAUUAAACGAAUGCAAGUAAUUUUGAAUAUUGAGACAAGUAAAUUUAAUUUUUUUGUACUUAUUAUUUGUUUCUUUAUUUUACUUAUAUAUAUAUAUAGUCAUUUUUAGACAUUUCUUUUGCAGUAAAUGGACAUCAAAUAUAUAUUAGCAUAUAAAAAGAAAGUACAAAAAUUGCAAUAUUUUAAUUUUCUUUAUUUGUAUUUUUGUAUUUUUUAUAUAUAAUUUGUAUGUGUAUUUUGUAUUUUUUGUUUAUUACUUUAGCAUUUGUUAGAGGUAAUUGACAUUAAUUUGUUAAUUAUUUCCUGACAUGUACAUAUUUUUAUAAAUCUAUAUACACAGUAUUUAUAGUUUAUAUAAAAUUACGAAAUAUAAUUGCAUCUUUGCGUAAAGUGCUGUGUAAUAUAAUAAUUUUUAUGUGUAUAUGUGCGCACAAAAUUGCAAUCUAUGUAAGUUGAGAUUUUGUAAUUUAAACGGCGAUUUACAAUGAGCGACGAUUUUCAGGAGAAAUUUAAUUUAAUUUUUGGAAUCAAGCGACGAUCAAAUCCCAAUGAAAUAUUAAUCACAGAUAAAUGAUUUUACAUUCAUUAGAAGUUCCAUAAUUUUAGAUUUCAAAGUUUAGAGUUUGAAGCAAUUCUCUAUAAUUUUUCUUUACAAAGAUACAUCGAAGAUUAUAUCGAUCUUCUAUCUCGUAGCAACAAAGCAAACAUGCAUGCGAGGUCACUCACAUUUUGCUUAUGACGAAACACGUUGCUACCGCGAUCAAUUAAUCAGCUGAUCGUAGUAGCAUAGUAGCACAUGACCUAUGCACGCGCGCUCAUGAAUGCACGCGUGUCAAAUUUUCAACACCCACUGUAACCUUAUAAAAAAUUGAUAUGAUAGAAAGUCUUUCAUUUGACAUUUCUCAGCUGUCUAUGCAAUUCAUAUACUCUUAUCAUAACAAGUAUGUAUGUCUAUAAUGAUUAUUCUACUAAAAAUUGCAAAAUUGGACUUUUUUCAUCUUCAUCUUACAUGAGAUGUUAUAAAUUAUCGCAUGGAUUAAUGUCGUGGUUGUGGAAAAACAUAUUCAAGAACUGAUCUUUCAUCCUUACAUAAUUUUAACAUAGCUCGAACUUAUGAGCAUCUUCAUUUUUUUAAAUAAAAAUGUAUUAUGUUUUCCAUAAAACGAAAUAUUUCUACAUCGAAAUUUUUCUGCAAUUUUUAUUAUAAAUAAUUAAGAUUAUCUUGUGCUGUUACGCUUUCACGCUGACAAAUCGGACAUGGGGCCGUUGUUUGUGUGUUUCAGGCUUGUGGUAUUCUUACUGUCCCUGGAACGUAAGACCGUAUCAGUGUUUGAACUGUCCCAACAAUUACGCGAAGAAGUGCCACCUGAAGCGUCACGUGAUAAGCGCAUGCAACGGCAAGGAGCCACGUUACAAAUGUCCUUAUUGCACAUACAUAUCGCGGUAUCCUUCGGACACUUACAAGCACGUGAAACGCCUGCACGAGAAUCAGGAUGUUUUCGCCAUCGACGUGUUGCCCACGAACAACUCUUACUUCAAGGAUCCCUUGAUGCGGGAUAACUGUAUCCUGAGGAGUUCGUAGCCCAAAUUAGACGAAUAGUUGCAAGAAUAUUUCACCGUUGUCAUAAAAUUUAUCGUUAGGAAAUUUUUCUGUUUAGCACAAUGUUCUUCAUUUUUCUUGUAACACAUAAGUGACAUUAAAAAUUGCAUUUCCUUCGUCACACGUCAAUCAUUGUUUUUUAUUGUUAUUUGUGUCCUUUAUUUAUUUUUCCAAAAGCUAUUACAUCCAGCCGAAGAAAGUACAAUAAUAUUCUUACCGAAAUUUUUUUUAUAUUGUUUAAUUUUUUAUUGCAUCUCAAACUUACAUGUAAAUUAAAUUUUCAGUGAAUCGCUGUGUAAGGUUAUAUCGAUAAAAACUUUGUUACUUUAAUUUUGACUUCUUUUUUCAUACAGAAAUCAGGAUAUUAUAAAAGUGAGUGCUAUAGGUAGAUUUUUUCGACUCGUAAUUACAAUUAAAAAUUGUGAAUUUUUAUAUGUAGGUGUAACUCACAUUUACGUGGUUUUUUUUGCUGCGAAACUGCAAAAUGAUGCAUGAGGUGGAUGACACAGUUUUAAUUGCAUGAAGAAGUAGAAGGCACGUUGGAAGUUUUUCUCAAAGUUUUAAGGCGAGUAAUGUGAAUUUCUUGUAAGGACAGUUUUUCUAUGAGAAAAUUAUUAUUGAAGCAAUUAAUGCAAUUUGUAAAUUUAUUUAAAUAGACAUUUAUACAUAUAUAAAAAUAUAGUAAAGACGAAUGUUAAUAUUGAACAAGAAUUCUAAAAGAACAAGACGCAUCUUUGAUAUUUUUGUGGCGUUGAGAGUUACACUUUCGUAAUAUGUUAACUGGGUUAAUUUGCUUUGAGAAUACGUGCUGGUCGUUUUCAUAAUAAAUGCAUGAUAAUGAAAAUAUACAAUUAAGGUUAAUAAAGAAUCAUCUUUGUGUAUUUUAUAAUGCUUCUCUUUCUAAUCAAUCUCAAAAGUAUUUUUAUAUCUUAUAAUGUUUCUUUUUCUAAUCAAUCUUAGAAUGUCAGUGCUUCACCAUCUACACGAGCGCUGUCUUUUCACUGUAAAUUUUCGUUUUUUGCUUUCAGGAUCGUUAACGUUAUUGACGAAUGCACAUUAUCGACAACAUCAACAACAAUUAUGGAAUUCGAAACGACAACAAAAGUAUUCGUCGGACAGUAACAUAAGGUACGCAUGUCCGAAGUGCCAUAAGAGCUAUCGACACGUGCAUCAUAUGUUGCGACAUUCUAGAUUUGAGUGUGGCUGUCCACCGAGAUUUCAGUGUCCUUACUGCGGCAUGAAGAGCAAGCAGUCCAACAAUGUCUACAAGCAUAUACGCGUCAAACAUCCCGGAUCGAAGCUUGAAAUUGUCAGACUUUCUUACAUUCAAGAAUAAAUUGUAAUAGAACACAAUAAGACAUCUUUAGAUUGUGGGUCAUUUGGACAAUAACUGGCGGAUCGCAACUUGUACCGUGAGUUCUGAAGUAGUCAAAACGCACAUUGUCUUUCGGACUAACACUCUAUCUUCGCAGAACACAUUUCAUUUGGUUCUCCGUCAUCAUUUGGCAUUUAAUCAAUCGAUUACCGCGUAGUCCAUUCGUGCACAGCUUCCUAAAAUACCUUUAACUGCUUUACUUGUUCGUUUCUUACUAAACAUACCGAUUCGCUCUGUCCUUAUGUACGUGAGGAUGGAAGUGAGAUAAUCUUAUUAAUUAUAGUUAAAAAUAAUCGCUUUACGGAAGCAUUCUUUUCGUUGAGUUGAUUAAAGUAGUUCAUCGUAUCAGGUUGAGCCAGUCCUUUAAGUAUUCGUUGGCACAUGCAUAAAGUAGUUCGCAGUUCUGUUCGAGGCUGCUCCGAGCUCUCGAAGAGUUUUACGAUAGAUUCAUUUCUUUCACGCGAGUGCGCUGCGUGUUGCUGCUUCGGAGUGUUUGAGAAAGAGAAAGAGUGAAAGGGAAAAA
This is an RNA transcript of Monomorium pharaonis (pharaoh ant), 12411 nucleotides long. RefSeq lists it as uncharacterized. NCBI's taxonomy places the organism in Eukaryota, Metazoa, Arthropoda, Insecta, Hymenoptera, Formicidae. The transcript has 3 exons. The record is from RefSeq and is a predicted model, not a curated record.